CUGCCCAGGAAUCCUGACGCCCACUGUGAAAGAACAUUUCCCUUCCAAGGCUGGAUGUUCAGUGAAACAGUGGACAUCACCUACUUACAUAGUGACCAUCAUUAACCAUUCUCCUACGUAUGGUUCCUGUAAACGGCCUCUUUAAGCUUCUGAUUGCCCAAAUUGUACACAGCUCCUUUCCUUGUACAGGUUGUUCUCCAAGGGGAAUAAGCAGACUGGCUUUGCCCAUCUGGCAUCCCCUCCCCACACCAAGGCCCAAAGCCCAACGUUCAAGGUCACAGGCUGAUGUAUGACAUCAUUUAGACCAGGCUGGGGCUUAACUGGUAUUGUUGAAACAUUCACACUCCUAAACUGCAAAUGUAAAGUCUCUGUUGGGGAACUGUGACAUCCUGCCUGCUGGUCAGUCUUCCAUUAGCACUAUGGUCAUUUCAGGACAGGGUUGGGAGGCAUUUGUAUUAGUGGCCCACUAUCAUGGCAGGCAUAGUUCCAUGGGCAGAGUGAAGACACACUGUUGCCUCCCUUUCUUAUCCCCAAGACAAAGGGAGCCACAAAUGACUGAAAGUACACACAGCAGGAAUUAAAAUGUAUCUUUUCUGUUGUUUUUCUUUUAGGCAGGGUUUCUCUGUAGCUUUGGAGCCUGUCCUGAACUAUCUCUUGUAGACCAGGCUGGCCUCAAACUCACAGAGAUCUGCCUGCCUCUGCCUCCCGAGUGCUGUGAUUAAAGGCAUGCACUACCACUGCCCAGCAAAAUAUACCUAUAUUGAUGUACUAAAAAGGUAGUCUGUUUUCAAAAAGUGGAAUGUUCUGAAGGCAAAUGCACAAAAAUUCCUUUUCCUCAGAACCAAGAAGCAGAUCCAGUUCCUGGGACCUGCAGAGGCUCACACUUUCUCCUCCUCUGGAUUCUCACAGCUGAGCUGUGCCUACUGAUACCUUCCUCCCCUCUGUGAGGAGCAUCUGGGAAAGGCCCUGGUGUGCUCUAGGGAGUCCAGGGGCAUGUCAGGGAGGCUGUGAGGAUGAAACAUGUUGGGAUGAGGAACCGCGCCGUGGACUGUGCUCAAGUCCUCUGGUGAUGACCUACAGCCCCAUGCUCUUGGGGCAGGCACACGAUCUGCCUGAACCUCAGAUUUACAGCUUCCAGGAUGGAGUGUGAAGUCUGCGCCUCAACAACUUAUAAACAGUGAAUAUCACCAGGCUGACCAACUGACAGUGAUGCCUGAGUAGCCCAUGUGGACCUGUGUGCAGUUGAAGGAGGUGGGCAAGCAGGAGAGCCUCGGAGGAAACCCCAGGUCAGGUGAGAGGCGGAUGACAGAACGGACCCACGGGAACUUGGAGGCGGUUCUGGAAACCCACUCCUGGCCGCCAAUUACAGACAAGGACAGACAUCCACCUGUUCUGACAGUCACGUGGCCAUUUUUGAAAGAACGAACCGACUCACCAGGCACCAAGUGAGCCUCCUGCCCCGCCCUGAGGGAGGAAGCCCAACUGAUGCUUUGAGCCUCAGCCUACACAUGGUGCCAGAGAGAAGCCAUUCAGCAACAGUUCGGAACUGUGUCUACGUAUCUGAGUGUGAAAGGCAGAAGAUCCUGGGUCCAGUCCGCCAGUGCUGAACACAUAGGAUUUUGGUACCAGCUCCUGAAGAACAGUAGCGCAUAGCAAGAUUAAAACAUCAGUUCCCACAAAGCACCGAGGGGAAUGCCUGGCCCACAAUCAGCAUGGCAUGUUCGCUACAGGGAGGGUGGCUUCCAGAGUGGGGGGCUUUCACUGCCUCAGGCUGGGCAGGAAAAUCAGACUCAAAUGCUUUUCUUUGUAAUAGCAAGUGCCAUGGGCUCCAGUGGGGCAAAUUCAUGGCUUAGCCCUUGGGCAGCAACACAAGGCUGGGUUAGGUCAGAAUGAGCUCUUGACUGCAGCAGUGGAUGGAGUCCUGGAUGGAAAUGGAUAAUAAUGGACACGGGCCUCAGACCCAUGGCAACGGCCAAGCCUUCUUCUGGUUGAAGUCUGCAAGUUUAACAAGGACUGACCAGUGUAUGAGAAUACCAACAACGCUUCUCCCUCCUCCUGGGUGACGGAAAUCUGGGACUGCUCCCCGACAGAGACCCACACCAAGACUAUUUAGCCACAGCUCCUUGUGUUGUGAGUAAUAAACUAGGAUUCCAGGUGGCAUAGUAGGUGCCCACCUGGUCCAGCUCUUCUCUAUGUGCCUCUGCCAUUUCUUCAAUGGCUGUUGCUCCUGUGGUACCUGGGUCAGGCUUCCAGGACCAAGUCACACAGGACGUGGAGAUUAAGAAAGAGAAAGGGGUGGCAUGAUUCAUCACUUUCCAGACGUCCUGGAGUACUGUGUGAUUUCCCCAAAAGUUACCUUGCAGGUUGACCUGUCUCACU
This is a long non-coding RNA of Alexandromys fortis (reed vole), 2379 nucleotides long. RefSeq lists it as uncharacterized. The transcript has 4 exons. Lineage: Eukaryota; Metazoa; Chordata; Mammalia; Rodentia; Cricetidae. The record is from RefSeq and is a predicted model, not a curated record.